RNAcentral lists this ribosomal RNA (328 nucleotides) under uncultured eukaryote. Its description in RNAcentral is "partial 18S ribosomal RNA". It matches the Rfam family "Eukaryotic small subunit ribosomal RNA", at positions 1470 to 1796 of the family's 1831-position model. The record is from RNAcentral.
CCCUUAGAUGUUCUGGGCCGCACGCGCGCUACACUGACUACUUCAACGAGUUGUUUCCUUGAUCGAAAGGUCUGGGUAAUCUUUGAAAGGUAGUCGUGAUGGGGAUAGAUCCUUGCAAUUUUUGAUCUUCAACGAGGAAUUCCUAGUAAACGCAAGCCAUCAGCUUGCAUUGAUUACGUCCCUGCCCUUUGUACACACCGCCCGUCGCACCUACCGAUUGAAUGGUCCGGUGAAUCUUUAGGACUGUGGCUGAGGCCUUGCCUUGUGCGGGUCUGGCCGUGGGAAUUUAGUUAAACCUUACCAUUUAGAGGAAGGUGAAGUCGUAACA